GACGAACGCUGGCGGCGUGCUUAACACAUGCAAGUCGAACGGAAAGGCCCUGCUUUUGUGGGGUGCUCGAGUGGCGAACGGGUGAGUAACACGUGAGUAACCUGCCCUUGACUUUGGGAUAACUUCAGGAAACUGGGGCUAAUACCGGAUAGGAGCUCCUGCUGCAUGGUGUGGGUUGGAAAGUUUCGGCGGUUGGGGAUGGACUCGCGGCUUAUCAGCUUGUUGGUGGGGGAGUGGCUUACCAAGGCUUGGACGGGUAGCCGGCCUGAGAGGGUGACCGGCCACAUUGGGACUGAGAUACGGCGCAGACUCCUACGGGAGGCAGCAGUGGGGAAUAUUGCACAAUGGGCGGAAGCCUGAUGCAGCAACGCCGCGUGCGGGAUGACGGCCUUCGGGUUGUAAACCGCUUUCGCCUGUGACGAAGCGUGAGUGACGGUAAUGGGUAAAGAAGCACCGGCUAACUACGUG
Molecule: ribosomal RNA, 468 nt
Filed under: uncultured bacterium
Lineage: Bacteria
Description: partial 16S ribosomal RNA
Rfam family: Bacterial small subunit ribosomal RNA
Source: RNAcentral